UACGUAGGGGGCAAGCGUUAUCCGGAUUUACUGGGUGUAAAGGGAGCGUAGGCGGCGAUGCAAGUCAGAAGUGAAAGCCCGGGGCUCAACCCCGGGACUGCAUUGGAAACUGUCGCGCUCGAGUGUCGGAGAGGUAAGUGGAAUUCCUAGUGUAGCGGUGAAAUGCGUAGAUAUUAGGAGGAACACCAGUGGCGAAGGCGGCUUACUGGACGACAACUGACGCUGAGGCACGAAAGCGUGGGUAUCGAACAGG
Molecule: ribosomal RNA, 253 nt
Filed under: uncultured Lachnospiraceae bacterium
Lineage: Bacteria; Bacillati; Bacillota; Clostridia; Lachnospirales; Lachnospiraceae
Description: partial 16S ribosomal RNA
Rfam family: Bacterial small subunit ribosomal RNA
Source: RNAcentral